RNAcentral lists this ribosomal RNA (1073 nucleotides) under fungal endophyte. RNAcentral describes it as "eukaryotic LSU rRNA". The stretch from base 487 to 1073 matches the Rfam family "Eukaryotic large subunit ribosomal RNA", at positions 1 to 599 of the family's 3401-position model. The record is from RNAcentral. Lineage: Eukaryota; Fungi.
UGAGUUUACGCUCUACAACCCUUUGUGAACAUACCUAUAACUGUUGCUUCGGCGGGUAGGGUCUCCGUGACCCUCCCGGCCUCCCGCCCCCGGGCGGGUCGGCGCCCGCCGGAGGAUAACCAAACUCUGAUUUAACGACGUUUCUUCUGAGUGGUACAAGCAAAUAAUCAAAACUUUUAACAACGGAUCUCUUGGUUCUGGCAUCGAUGAAGAACGCAGCGAAAUGCGAUAAGUAAUGUGAAUUGCAGAAUUCAGUGAAUCAUCGAAUCUUUGAACGCACAUUGCGCCCGCCAGCAUUCUGGCGGGCAUGCCUGUUCGAGCGUCAUUUCAACCCUCAAGCUCUGCUUGGUGUUGGGGCCCUACAGCUGAUGUAGGCCCUCAAAGGUAGUGGCGGACCCUCCCGGAGCCUCCUUUGCGUAGUAACUUUACGUCUCGCACUGGGAUCCGGAGGGACUCUUGCCGUAAAACCCCCAAUUUUCCAAAGGUUGACCUCGGAUCAGGUAGGAAUACCCGCUGAACUUAAGCAUAUCAAUAAGCGGAGGAAAAGAAACCAACAGGGAUUGCCUCAGUAACGGCGAGUGAAGCGGCAACAGCUCAAAUUUGAAAUCUGGCCCUAGGCCCGAGUUGUAAUUUGCAGAGGAUGCUUUUGGUGCGGUGCCUUCCAAGUUCCCUAGAACGGGACGCCAGAGAGGGUGAGAGCCCCGUACAGUUGGACACCAAGCCUUUGUAAAGCUCCUUCGACGAGUCGAGUAGUUUGGGAAUGCUGCUCAAAAUGGGAGGUAUAUUUCUUCUAAAGCUAAAUACCGGCCAGAGACCGAUAGCGCACAAGUAGAGUGAUCGAAAGAUGAAAAGCACUUUGAAAAGAGGGUUAAACAGCACGUGAAAUUGUUAAAAGGGAAGCGCUUGUGACCAGACUUGCGUCCGGUGAAUCACCCAGCUCUCGCGGCUGGGGCACUUCGCCGGCUCAGGCCAGCAUCAGCUCGCUGUCGGGGACAAAAGCUUCAGGAACGUAGCUCUCUUCGGGGAGUGUUAUAGCCUGUUGCAUAAUACCCUUCGGCGGGCUGAGGUACGCG